UAACCCUAAGAAGGGGAAAAGACAUCAUAUUACAGCAGAAAUGAACAGCAACCAAAUUUCAUGAUCUAAAACUGAAUACUGAUUUGAAAGGUCCUCAGUGGUUUAACAUGUGGGGGACAAGAAUACAUGCUAGGCAUUUACUGAUACUGGAAAGCAAAAAGAGGAUUCAGGGCUUCCCUGGUGGCGCAGUGGUUGAGAGUCCGCCUGCCGAUGCAGGGGACACGGGUUUGUGCCCCGGCCCGGGAAGAUCCCACAUGCUGCGGAGCGGCUGGGCCCGUGAGCCAUGGCCGCUGAGCCUGCACGUCUGGAGCCUGUGCUCUGCAACGGGAGAGGCCACAACAGUGAGAGGCCCGCGUACCGCAAAGGAAAAAAAAAGUAUAGAAAGACAUGCUUGAUACUGAAGAUCCAAGGCUUUGCACUCAAAGGCUGCGUAAUCUGGUGCUGUGCAUCUGUUUUUGAUGGACUGAUGAAAAUAUCUGGAGGCCCACUCUCCUACUCAGUUCCCUCCUCCAGAGUGUCUCUUACCUUUUCUUCAUUAUUCACAAUUCCUUUAUAGGUCUCCCACUUGGAGUUGUUGUUUCUGAAGUUCAUUACAAAACUCUUUACAUAAAAGUUGAAAUUUGA
This is a long non-coding RNA of Orcinus orca (killer whale), 624 nucleotides long. RefSeq lists it as uncharacterized. The record is from RefSeq and is a predicted model, not a curated record. The transcript has 2 exons. Lineage: Eukaryota; Metazoa; Chordata; Mammalia; Artiodactyla; Delphinidae.